This 253-nucleotide ribosomal RNA is filed under the name uncultured bacterium. RNAcentral describes it as "partial 16S ribosomal RNA". It matches the Rfam family "Bacterial small subunit ribosomal RNA", at positions 524 to 776 of the family's 1533-position model. The record is from RNAcentral.
UACGGAGGGUGCAAGCGUUAUCCGGAUUCACUGGGUUUAAAGGGUGCGUAGGUGGGCAGUUAAGUCAGUGGUGAAAUCUCCGGGCUCAACCCGGAAACUGCCAUUGAUACUAUCUGUCUUGAAUAUCGUGGAGGUAAGCGGAAUAUGUCAUGUAGCGGUGAAAUGCUUAGAUAUGACAUAGAACACCAAUUGCGUAGGCAGCUUACUACACGAUCAUUGACGCUGAGGCACGAAAGCGUGGGGAGCAAACAGG